AAAUAUAAGGAGAAUUGAAGGACUUAUCACUCCAGACAUCAUCAGUGACACCGGUUACUGAAAGCGAACCCGUAACUCUUGAAUAAGUCAUCGUUGUAUCCGAAUAUCUGCAGCACUUUAUCUUCCUGAAAGACAAAAAAGAAAAAUGAAGUUGUUUGUUGCAUUGAUAUUAACUGGUAUAGCCGUCAUUGUUCAAGAUUGUCUUGGAGUAACGUAAGUAGAUUUAUGUUAAAACUUCAAUAUUUAUGGUUUGGCAAGUGUCCAUAAGAAUUCUAUGACGUGACUUAAGUGAAAUGUUUUACAUAACAUAUCUACUAAAGCAUCGAUGCCAUAUAACUAUACAAUUGUAUAACGAGAAUAUUGUGUGGAUGCUAAAGGACAAAUAUGUCCCCUGAAUUAAAUAGAAUGGUCUAAUCUAACGGGUUUUCUUAAGAUCAGGGCUGACCUUACACCUAAAUUCCUCAAAAAGGUUAAAUCGUCUCGGUUGGAACACUUUUGCACAUAUCUUUUUUUAAGCAUUCUCAAUCAAUGCAUUGAAUUUUCUUUAAAUAUUAGAGGCAACGCUGGUAAAAUUUCAUUAUACUUUUGAGAGACAGUUGCACAGUUAUAAGUAAUUUGAAAAAUUUUUUACUGUUUCCGUUCCUGAGGUGAGAACUUCUGAAAUGGAAUAUUCUCAAUAUCUGACAAUAAUUCUAAUGCAUUUUCUGUUUUCUUCUGUUUCUUGUGUAUAUAAUUUGGAAUAACAAUUUCGAGAAUUUUUCGAGACUUUUUUAUUGGGAAUCUUUUCAACAACUGAACAGGUUAGCAGUUAAAAGAUCAACAACUGCUACUACUACUACUACUACUUAGUAUCUAUAUUGUUGUAAGUUCGCCAUUUUGAUUCUCAAAUCGGCGAUGCGUUGUGUUCUUCGG
Molecule: long non-coding RNA, 912 nt
Organism: Octopus bimaculoides (California two-spot octopus)
Lineage: Eukaryota; Metazoa; Mollusca; Cephalopoda; Octopoda; Octopodidae
Source: RefSeq, a predicted model, not a curated record